AUAUAUAAUACUAAUCACAAGACAGGUUUGAUCAACCGUUGCUUGUUCAGUUCAUCAGUGAACCCACCAGGUGAAUAAAUCAGGGGUUCAUUUCAAGAUAGCAACAUGACCUAUAUGACCUGCAUGUAUCCCAACACUAACAUUUGAAUAGAUUGCCAGUGGGCUACACUCAACACACAGAUGGUCCUCCUAUACUGUCCCAGCAUGCAUUUCCAGGUAUAAAUGAGUCUCAGGUAUAAACGCAAGUGAAUGAAACCAUGCAAGGUACCCAGGGGCAGAAAUCCCAGGGGGUCAGGGGUCAGGGGUCAGGGCCAAAUCAUGGGGAUGUAAACGGGUGUGUUAAACCAGAUCAAUAAGUCACAUACUUUCUAUGUAAACAUCACAGAACAAUUUAAAAUAAUGUAUAAUAUGCAUUCUUGGCAUCUUUAACACCAAUUUGUAUCUACUGUGCUUAUAAAAAGCAUUCACCCCCUUUGAAAGUGUUCACCUUUUACUGUUUUACAACAUUAAAUCAACCAUAAUUCAAUUUGACUUUUAUGACACUGAUCCGCUCAUUUCAAAGUGAUCACAGAUUCCUACAAAGUAAUCUAAAUGUAUUAAAAACAUAAAACAUAAAAUAACUGAUUGCACAAGUAUCCCCCCCUUCAAGUCAGUAUUAAGUAGAUGCACCUUUGGCAGCCUUUACAGCUUUGUCUGUGUGUGUAGGUCUCCAUCAGCUGUGAGCCUGUGUGUGUGUGUGUGUGUGUGUAGGUCUCCAUCAGCUGUGAGCCUGUGUGUGUGUGUGUGUGUAGGUCUCCAUCAGCUGUGAGCCUGUGUGUGUGUGUGUGUGUGUGUGGGUCUCUAUCAGCUGUGAGCCUGUGUGUGUGUGUGUGUGUGUGGGUCUCUAUCAGCUGUGAGCCUGUGUGUGUGUGUGUGUGUGUG
Long non-coding RNA from Clupea harengus (Atlantic herring), 921 nucleotides. Lineage: Eukaryota; Metazoa; Chordata; Actinopteri; Clupeiformes; Clupeidae. The record is from Ensembl.